Long non-coding RNA from Eriocheir sinensis (Chinese mitten crab), 1988 nucleotides. RefSeq lists it as uncharacterized. The record is from RefSeq and is a predicted model, not a curated record. Lineage: Eukaryota; Metazoa; Arthropoda; Malacostraca; Decapoda; Varunidae. The transcript has 3 exons.
AACAGUCUCACCAUUACCGGCAUUUGUUGGGCUCGGAUAACUUGAACAGCUUUGUGGAGUGUGGACAGCCUCAGGAUGUUUGUACAUGUUUGUGCUGACUUUUGUAGUGACAUGAAGAGGGGCUCAACAGCCUGUCUUAAGGAUAAAUAACUACAGCAUUACUUGUUUGGCAGACUCAGAAGAGCUGGACAAAAUCAAGGCAUCCUGACAGUCAAAACAUAUGUUUACACCUCCCUCCCUUCCCUAUCACCCCCUUGUUCAUCGCCGACACUUUUUAUCAUUCUUUUCACCCUUUCGUUUAAAGCCCUUCCCUCCACCUUCCCUGGCACACUGAGUCACCUUAUUCCCCGUGACUGCCACAAUCAUCCCUUCUUCCUUCCCGUUUGUUCAGUGGCACAGUGACGGCCCUCCUCCAGUGUUCCGGCACCUCACCCUGCUCACAAGCUUGGCCAUGUGAGGCGUUGGUGUAAAAGUUGUGACCAAACCAAUCAAAGCGGGAAGUACUGUUUUUGGCGGCAUCUGGCACCUGAAUUCUUGCUGCAUUGUGCGGUGAAGCAAGUUUCAGAAAAAGCAGCCUUAAACCAGGUGAUUCAUAGGCCUAAAGUUGUGUGACUUCUCCGUUGAAGUCCCCAAUUUAUCUCGACUUCUUUCAGAAAGCUUUUUGUUCUCUAAACAGUUUGUUGAUGUCACUCUACCAAAAUAGUCAUAUACUCUGUCUACUUUCCCUACUGUUCCUUAACUGUCUAUUUUGUAUCGUCUGUCCAGCAUGCAUUCCCUCCCUUCCUCUUCCACACACCUUGUGUCCCACUACGUCCCAGGCUGCCCUUGACACUGAACUCUUCUCAACCCGUCUGCUGUAAUUGCCUUCACUGUUAUCCUGGUAACAUACAGUACCAGGUCUUUCUCUGCCUCUGUGGUGGAUAGUGGAGUGUUUCCCAUGUGGUAUUGGUGUACUGGAUAUCCCUUCACUGUUAUCCUGGUAACAUACAGUCCCAGGUCUUUCUCUGCCUCUGUGGUGGAUAGUGGAGCAUUUCCCAUGUGGUAUUGGUGUGCUGGAUAUCCCUUCACUGUUAUCCUGGUAACAUACAGUACCAGGUCUUUCUCUGCCUCUGUGGUGGAUAGUGGAGCAUUUCCCAUGUGGUAUUGGUGUGCUGGAUAUCCCUUCACUGUUAUCCUGGUAACAUACAGUACCAGGUCUUUCUCUGCCUCUGUGGUGGAUAGUGGAGCAUUUCCCAUGUGGUAUUGGUGUGCUGGAUAUCCCUUCACUGUUAUCCUGGUAACAUACAGUACCAGGUCUUUCUCUGCCUCUGUGGUGGAUAGUGGAGCAUUUCCCAUGUGGUAUUGGUGUGCUGGAUAUCCCUUCACUGUUAUCCUGGUAACAUACAGUACCAGGUCUUUCUCUGCCUCUGUGGUGGAUAGUGGAGCAUUUCCCAUGUGGUAUUGGUGUGCUGGAUUUCCCCUCCCAAGGUGCAGGACUUUACAUUUUUCUUCACUGCAUUGUAGCAGCCACUUUUUGCUCCUGUCCUGUAGCUUGGUGAGGUGUUCUGGCAGGAAAUCUGCAGCCAAGGGGUUAAGACUCUCACAUCCUCACUCACUCCAGCACUGUGUUUCACUCCUACUCUUGCUCUGCCAAAUACUUCCCUCACCUUCCUUCUGUACCUCUGCUUGUACCAGUCUCUCACUGGACACUUCCUUCCUCACAUUAGAUCUCUUCCUAUUCCCUUAAAUUCCCACUCGUCUCUCAUCCUUACAUUUCCUAAUACCAGACUGUUGUGCCUGUCUUCCAAUCACUGCAUCACAAUUCCCACGUUCAGUUUCCCAGAUAUUUUGUGUGUACUUUAUUUUGCCCUGGCAGGAGAGGCAAGAUUUCAACCAAUAUCAGACACAGCUUCUAUCUUACUCCCCUGUUGGUGGGAGAAUUAGUCCCAGAAAUCACGGUGACACUGCAUACUAAAUCACGGUGAAUGGUCUGAGAGGUGGGAUGAGUC